CACACCGCCCGUCACACCAUGGGAGUUUGUUGCACCAGAGGCAGGUAGCUUAACCUUCGGGAGGGCGCUUGCCACGGUGUGGCCGAUGACUGGGGUG
RNAcentral lists this ribosomal RNA (97 nucleotides) under uncultured bacterium. RNAcentral describes it as "partial 16S ribosomal RNA". It matches the Rfam family "Bacterial small subunit ribosomal RNA", at positions 1386 to 1482 of the family's 1533-position model. The record is from RNAcentral.